UACGAAGGGGGCUAGCGUUGUUCGGAAUUACUGGGCGUAAAGCGCACGUAGGCGGACUUUUAAGUCAGGUGUGAAAUCCCUCGGCUCAACCGAGGAACUGCGCCCGAGACUGCUUCUCUUGAGUCCCGGAGAGGAAGGUGGAAUUCCCGGUGUAGCGGUGAAAUGUGUAGAGAUCGGGAGGAACACCGGUGGCGAAGGCGGCCUUCUGGACGGUGACUGACGCUGAGGCGCGAAAGCGUGGGGAGCAAACGGG
This 253-nucleotide ribosomal RNA is filed under the name uncultured bacterium. Its description in RNAcentral is "partial 16S ribosomal RNA". It matches the Rfam family "Bacterial small subunit ribosomal RNA", at positions 524 to 776 of the family's 1533-position model. The record is from RNAcentral.